This 497-nucleotide ribosomal RNA is filed under the name uncultured bacterium. RNAcentral describes it as "partial 16S ribosomal RNA". It matches the Rfam family "Bacterial small subunit ribosomal RNA", at positions 28 to 507 of the family's 1533-position model. The record is from RNAcentral.
GAUGAACGCUGGCGGCGUGCCUAAUACAUGCAAGUCGAGCGAACGGACGAGAAGCUUGCUUCUCUGAUGUUAGCGGCGGACGGGUGAGUAACACGUGGAUAACCUACCUAUAAGACUGGGAUAACUUCGGGAAACCGGAGCUAAUACCGGAUAAUAUUUUGAACCGCAUGGUUCAAAAGUGAAAGACGGUCUUGCUGUCACUUAUAGAUGGAUCCGCGCUGCAUUAGCUUGUUGGUAAGGUAACGGCUUACCAAGGCAACGAUGCAUAGCCGACCUGAGAGGGUGAUCGGCAACACUGGAACGGAGACACGGUCCAGACUCCUACGGGAGGCAGCAGUAGGGAAUCUUCGGCAAUGGGCGAAAGCCUGACGGAGCAACGCCGCGUGAGUGAUGAGGGUCUUCGGAUCGUAAAACUCUGUUAUUAGGGAAGAACAUAUGUGUAAGUAACUGUGCACAUCUUGACGGUACCUAAUCAGAAAGCCACGGCUAACUACGUG